This 242-nucleotide RNase MRP RNA is filed under the name Puccinia triticina 1-1 BBBD Race 1. RNAcentral's name for it is "RNase MRP". It matches the Rfam family "RNase MRP". Rfam says of the family: RNase MRP is an enzymatically active ribonucleoprotein with two distinct roles in eukaryotes. In mitochondria it plays a direct role in the initiation of mitochondrial DNA replication. The record is from Rfam by way of RNAcentral. Lineage: Eukaryota; Fungi; Basidiomycota; Pucciniomycetes; Pucciniales; Pucciniaceae.
CAAGCAAGCCAAGGACCAUAUGUUUUUUUGUGUUACACUUUCAGCAUCUAAGCUUAUUAUAUUCAACACAAGGAGAAAGUCCCCGGAAAACAAAAUAUCUUCUGUCCAAUGAUUAAAGAUUAGGGCAGUGGGGUAUUUAGUAAAGCAACUUUUGUUUUGUUUUGUUUUUUUUCAAUAAUAAAAAGUAAUAUGGUCACCCUAUAAUAAUGGGGCAACUUAAUGGGGCUUACUCUGGCUUGUUU